CAUUGCUUUAGCUUGGGUGCUGUUUUGGAAAUUUCCCAAUUUAAUAUCUGACCAGGACAGAGAUUUAUAGCAGGCUAGAUGGGGUGGAGCAGACUGCCAUUGAUGGGUAGGUGCAGUAAAUAAAUGGAUGGCAUGCUAAAAAUAGCCUAGAAGAAGAUGGACCACCACUCGAAGUAUCAGCCUUGACUGUGCAUAGUCCCUUCAAAAUGACUAAGCAUCUGCUGAGAUGGG
Non-coding RNA from Pelobates cultripes (western spadefoot toad), 231 nucleotides. The record is from the annotation of a GenBank genome assembly. NCBI's taxonomy places the organism in Eukaryota, Metazoa, Chordata, Amphibia, Anura, Pelobatidae.